GCAAUAAAUAAACGAAUUUAUGCCAAACCUAAAUGUGAUUUAAGACCCGGCAUGGAAAAUCGGGGCGUGUUUAAACCUUUUUGAGAACUAAAACUUUAAAUUUAAUUAUUAAAUGUAGGAGUUUUUCCAAGACUGUGCCGAAAUCCUAGCCACCAAGGUAAACAACAAAUAAUCCAGAAAACACAGGAUCUUAGCCACACUAAGUUCACGGAGGACAUCAAACAAGAAAAGGGUGUGACUGGCUGGUGCGUCCUCGCAACUGGAACUCAUCAUGGUCCAAUUAGGAGGAUCUUCAAGACAGGCAGAUCCCCUGAGGCAGAUGUCAGAUUGUUCCACCUUACCGAGAAACCAGAAUUCAGUCCAUGCUCUGUUCCAGGACUGGACUUCUCUGCCUCCUCAUUCAGAGUUCACAACAGAACUCAUCUCAGGAUCCCUUCCACUAGUCUACUGACUGCUCCUCUGGAUCUGCUGUCUGGAUUCACCUUCACUCCACCACCACCACCACCUACCUUUCCACCCUCCAACACUCUGCCAUCAUCUCCAUCUUCCCCUGAAACAUAAAACAAAUAUCAUGAUGAACCUGCAUCGCUCGUCAAAGCCUGCCAACCUCAGCCUGUGGGCUUACUCACCUCCUCGCUGGAAUGUUCAUCAUCACCAUGAAUGAUCUGACCUCGCUUCCCUUGUUAACCACUUACCUCUCCUCCUCAGUGCCAACCUGGACUCCUCCCAAGAACCCAGAAAAAAGAUUUGUUAUUUCACUUGAGUCAAUAAACCUUUUAAAACCUUU
Molecule: long non-coding RNA, 787 nt
Organism: Girardinichthys multiradiatus
Lineage: Eukaryota; Metazoa; Chordata; Actinopteri; Cyprinodontiformes; Goodeidae
Exons: 3
Source: RefSeq, a predicted model, not a curated record